CAGCAGCCACGGUAAGACGAACCGUGCAAACGUUACUCGGAAUCACUGGGCUUAAAGCGCACGUAGGCGGCGACAUAAGUUAGAGGUGAAAUCCCAUCGGCUCAACCGUGGAACUGCCUCUAAUACUGUGUUGCUUGAGGGAGAACGGGGCAAUCGGAACUUCCGGUGGAGCGGUGAAAUGCGUUGAGAUCGGAAAGAACACCAACGGCGAAAGCACUCUGCUGGGCCGACACUGACACUGAGAGACGAAAGCUAGGGGAGCAAAUGGGAUUAGAUACCCGUGUAGUCCCUGUCUCUUAUA
RNAcentral lists this ribosomal RNA (301 nucleotides) under uncultured bacterium. RNAcentral's name for it is "partial 16S ribosomal RNA". It matches the Rfam family "Bacterial small subunit ribosomal RNA", at positions 509 to 808 of the family's 1533-position model. The record is from RNAcentral.